UUGACAGGCAGCAGUCUCCAGGAGAUACAAAUGCAACUCUGACGAACAUCAUUUUUCAGCUGGAAUGGAAGGGUAUGAACAAUCCAGUGACAACAAGAAAAAGCACGUUUUCAUCAUUACUUUUCUCCUGGAUAUG
Pantherophis guttatus is the source of this 136-nucleotide long non-coding RNA. RefSeq lists it as uncharacterized. The record is from RefSeq and is a predicted model, not a curated record. NCBI's taxonomy places the organism in Eukaryota, Metazoa, Chordata, Lepidosauria, Squamata, Colubridae.